This 378-nucleotide ribosomal RNA is filed under the name uncultured marine eukaryote. RNAcentral describes it as "SSU rRNA". It matches the Rfam family "Eukaryotic small subunit ribosomal RNA", at positions 881 to 1259 of the family's 1831-position model. The record is from RNAcentral.
GUUGGGGGCAUCAGUAUUCUGAAGCGAGAGGUGAAAUUCUUGGACCUUCGGAAGACUAACAACUGCGAAAGCAUUUGCCUAGGAUGUUCUCUUUAAUCAAGAACGAAAGUUGGGGGAUCGAAGACGAUCAGAUACCGUCGUAGUCUCAACUAUAAACUAUGCCAGCUAGGGAUUGGUGGACGUUUAUUUACGACUCCAUCAGCACCUUAUGAGAAAUCAAAGCAUUUGGGUUCCGGGGGGAGUAUGGUCGCAAGGCUGAAACUUAAAGGAAUUGACGGGAGGGCACCACCAGGAGUGGAGCCUGUGGCUUAAUUUGACUCAACACGGGAAAACUUACCAGGUCCGGACAUAGUAAGGAUUGACAGAUUGAUAGCUCUU